UUGACUUUUAUUUUAAAAAUCUAUAAAGUAAUACAAACGGGUGAUGGUGAUGAAACGAUGGUGUAAAUUUUUUUACACUGACAGUGUAUUUCAAUUAAUCUCAUAAUAGAUUAUGUACUUCACAUAAAAACUAAAAUAAAUCGUAUAUUAUAAAAAAUAAAUAAUAAAAACCAUUCCUAAAAACAAAUUAUAAAAAACAAAAGAAUAAAAAACAUUCCUAAACAAAAUAAUA
RNAcentral lists this long non-coding RNA (232 nucleotides) under Lathyrus oleraceus (garden pea). RNAcentral's name for it is "Pisum sativum (pea) long non-coding RNA (PSAT_LNC008103)". Lineage: Eukaryota; Viridiplantae; Streptophyta; Magnoliopsida; Fabales; Fabaceae. The record is from RNAcentral.